GAUGAAGAACGUAGCGAAAUGCGAUAAGUAAUGUGAAUUGCAGAAUUCAGUGAAUCAUCGAAUCUUUGAACGCACAUUGCGCCCGCCAGUAUUCUGGCGGGCAUGCCUGUCUGAGCGUCAUUUCAACCCUCAUGCCCCUAGGGCGUGGUGUUGGGGAUCGGCCAAAGCCCGCGAGGGACGGCCGGCCCCUAAAUCUAGUGGCAGACCCGUCGUGGCCUCCUCUGCGAAGUAGUGAUAUUCCGCAUCGGAGAGCGACGAGCCCCUGCCGUUAAACCCCCAACUUUCCAAGGUUGACCUCAGAUCAGGUAGGAAUACCCGCUGAACUUAAGCAUAUCAAUAAGCGGAGGA
RNAcentral lists this unclassified non-coding RNA (348 nucleotides) under soil metagenome. RNAcentral's name for it is "partial contains 5.8S ribosomal RNA, internal transcribed spacer 2, and large subunit ribosomal RNA". The stretch from base 1 to 120 matches the Rfam family "5.8S ribosomal RNA", at positions 35 to 154 of the family's 154-position model. The record is from RNAcentral.